GAUGAAGAACGCAGCGAAAUGCGAUAAGUAAUGUGAAUUGCAGAAUUCAGUGAAUCAUCGAAUCUUUGAACGCACAUUGCGCCCGCCAGUAAUCUGGCGGGCAUGCCUGUUCGAGCGUCAUUUCAACCAUCAAGCCCCCGGCUUGUGUUGGGGACCUGCGGCUGCCGCAGGCCCUGAAAAGCAGUGGCGGGCUCGCUGUCACACCGAGCGUAGUAGCAUACAUCUCGCUCAGGGCGUGCUGCGGGUUCCGGCCGUUAAACCACCUUCAUAACCCAAGGUUGACCUCGGAUCAGGUAGGAAGACCCGCUGAACUUAAGCAUAUCAAUAAGCGGAGGA
RNAcentral lists this unclassified non-coding RNA (336 nucleotides) under soil metagenome. RNAcentral describes it as "partial contains 5.8S ribosomal RNA, internal transcribed spacer 2, and large subunit ribosomal RNA". The stretch from base 1 to 120 matches the Rfam family "5.8S ribosomal RNA", at positions 35 to 154 of the family's 154-position model. The record is from RNAcentral.